ACGCUCGACACCUACGGGAGGCUGCAGUGGGGAAUAUUGCACAAUGGGGGAAACCCUGAUGCAGCGACGCCGCGUGGAGGAAGAAGGUCUUCGGAUUGUAAACUCCUGUUGUUGGGGAAAAAGAGGAUGGUACCCAACAAGGAAGUGACGGCUAACUACGUGCAAGCAGCCGCGGUAAUCUGAGCGGGCUGGCAAGGC
RNAcentral lists this ribosomal RNA (198 nucleotides) under uncultured bacterium. RNAcentral describes it as "partial 16S ribosomal RNA". It matches the Rfam family "Bacterial small subunit ribosomal RNA", at positions 328 to 539 of the family's 1533-position model. The record is from RNAcentral.